This 478-nucleotide ribosomal RNA is filed under the name uncultured bacterium. Its description in RNAcentral is "partial 16S ribosomal RNA". It matches the Rfam family "Bacterial small subunit ribosomal RNA", at positions 28 to 523 of the family's 1533-position model. The record is from RNAcentral.
GACGAACGCUGGCGGCGUGCUUAACACAUGCAAGUCGAACGGUAAGGCCCUUCGGGGUACACGAGUGGCGAACGGGUGAGUAACACGUGGGUGAUCUGCCCUGCACUUCGGGAUAAGCCUGGGAAACUGGGUCUAAUACCGGAUAGGACCACUGCCUGCAUGGGGGGUGGUGGAAAGCUUUUGCGGUGUGGGAUGGGCCCGCGGCCUGUCAGCUUGUUGGUGGGGUGAUGGCCUACCAAGGCGACGACGGGUAGCCGGCCUGAGAGGGUGACCGGCCACACUGGGACUGAGAUACGGCCCAGACUCCUACGGGAGGCAGCAGUGGGGAAUAUUGCACAAUGGGCGCAAGCCUGAUGCAGCGACGCCGCGUGAGGGAUGACGGCCUUCGGGUUGUAAACCUCUUUCAGCACCGACGAAGCGCAAGUGACGGUAGGUGCAGAAGAAGGACCGGCCAACUACGUGCCAGCAGCCGCCGUAA